This 1404-nucleotide ribosomal RNA is filed under the name uncultured bacterium. RNAcentral's name for it is "bacterial SSU rRNA". It matches the Rfam family "Bacterial small subunit ribosomal RNA". The record is from RNAcentral.
AAUUCGCCCUUAGAGUUUGAUCCUGGCUCAGGACGAACGCUGGCGGCGUGCUUAACACAUGCAAGUCGAACGAGAAUCUGAUGAAGGAGUUUUCGGACAACGGAUUCAGAGGACAGUGGCGGACGGGUGAGUAACGCGUGAGGAACCCGCCUUUCAGAGGGGGACAACAGUUGGAAACGACUGCUAAUACCGCAUAACACAUCGGAGUCGCAUGGCUCUGAUGUCAAAGAUUUAUCGCUGAAAGAUGGCCUCGCGUCUGAUUAGCUAGUUGGUGAGGUAACGGCCCACCAAGGCGACGAUCAGUAGCCGGACUGAGAGGUUGACCGGCCACAUUGGGACUGAGAUACGGCCCAGACUCCUACGGGAGGCAGCAGUGGGGAAUAUUGGGCAAUGGGCGCAAGCCUGACCCAGCAACGCCGCGUGAAGGAAGAAGGCUUUCGGGUUGUAAACUUCUUUUGUCAGGGACGAGUAGAAGACGGUACCUGACGAAUAAGCCACGGCUAACUACGUGCCAGCAGCCGCGGUAAUACGUAAGUGGCAAGCGUUGUCCGGAUUUACUGGGUGUAAAGGGCGUGUAGCCGGGAGGGCAAGUCAGAUGUGAAAUCCACGGGCUCAACUCGUGAACUGCAUUUGAAACUACUCUUCUUGAGUAUCGGAGAGGCAAUCGGAAUUCCUAGUGUAGCGGUGAAAUGCGUAGAUAUUAGGAGGAACACCAGUGGCGAAGGCGGAUUGCUGGACGACAAACUGACGGUGAGGCGCGAAAGCGUGGGGAGCAAACAGGAUUAGAUACCCUGGUAGUCCACGCUGUAAACGAUGAAUACUAGGUGUGCGGGGACUGACCCCCUGCGUGCCGCAGCUAACGCAAUAAGUAUUCCACCUGGGGAGUACGAUCGCAAGGUUGAAACUCAAAGGAAUUGACGGGGGCCCGCACAAGCGGUGGAUUAUGUGGUUUAAUUCGAAGCAACGCGAAGAACCUUACCAGGGCUUGACAUCCUACUAACGAGAUAGAGAUAUGUUAGGUGCCCUUCGGGGAAAGUAGAGACAGGUGGUGCAUGGUUGUCGUCAGCUCGUGUCGUGAGAUGUUGGGUUAAGUCCCGCAACGAGCGCAACCCCUAUUGUUAGUUGCUACCAUUAAGUUGAGCACUCUAGCGAGACUGCCCGGGUUAACCGGGAGGAAGGUGGGGAUGACGUCAAAUCAUCAUGCCCCUUAUGUCUAGGGCUACACACGUGCUACAAUGGCAAGUACAAAGAGAAGCAAGACCGCGAGGUGGAGCAAAACUCAAAAACUUGUCUCAGUUCGGAUUGUAGGCUGAAACUCGCCUACAUGAAGCUGGAGUUGCUAGUAAUCGCGAAUCAGCAUGUCGCGGUGAAUACGUUCCCGGGCCUUGUACUCACCGCCCGUCA